This 795-nucleotide ribosomal RNA is filed under the name uncultured Glomus. RNAcentral's name for it is "SSU rRNA". It matches the Rfam family "Eukaryotic small subunit ribosomal RNA", at positions 318 to 1114 of the family's 1831-position model. The record is from RNAcentral. Lineage: Eukaryota; Fungi; Glomeromycota; Glomeromycetes; Glomerales; Glomeraceae.
ACUUUCGAUGGUAGGAUAGAGGCCUACCAUGGUGGUGACGGGUGACGGAGAAUUAGGGUUCGAUUCCGGAGAGGGAGCCUGAGAAACGGCUACCACAUCCAAGGAUGGCAGCAGGCGCGCAAAUUACCCAAUCCCGACACGGGGAGGUAGUGACAAUAAAUAACAAUACGGGGUUCUUUCGGAUCUCGUAAUUGGAAUGAGUACAAUUUAAAUCUCUUAACGAGGAACAAUUGGAGGGCAAGUCUGGUGCCAGCAGCCGCGGUAAUUCCAGCUCCAAUAGCGUAUAUUAAAGUUGUUGCAGUUAAGAAGCUCGUAGUUGAAUUUCGGGGUCAGUAGGUUGGUCGUGCCACUGGUACGUACUGGUCUCACUGAUUCCUCCUUCCUGAUGAACCGUAAUGCCAUUAAUUUGGUGUUGCGGGGAAACUGGACUGUUACUUUGAAAAAAUUAGAGUGUUUAAAGCAGGCUAACGCUUGAAUACAUUAGCAUGGAAUAAUGAAAUAGGACGUUCGAUCUUAUUUUGUUGGUUUCUAAGAUUGACGUAAUGAUUAAUAGGGAUAGUUGGGGGCAUUAGUAUUCAAUUGUCAGAGGUGAAAUUCUUGGACUUAUUGAAGACUAACUACUGCGAAAGCAUUUGCCAAGGAUGUUUUCAUUAAUCAAGAACGAAAGUUAGGGGAUCGAAGACGAUCAGAUACCGUCGUAGUCUUAACCAUAAACUAUGCCGACUAGGGAUCGGAUGAUGUUAAUUUUUUAAUGACUCAUUCGGCGCCUUACGGGAAACCAAAGUGUUUGGGUUC